GACGAACGCUGGCGGCGUGCUUAACACAUGCAAGUCGAACGGAAAGGCCUCUUUCGGGGGGUACGUCGAGUGGCGAACGGGUGGUGUAACACGUGAGUAACCUGCCCUUGACUUUGGGUAGUAACUUCAGGAAACUGGGGCGUAAUACCGGAUAGGAGCUCCUGCUGCAUGGUGGGGGUUGGAAAGUUUCGGCGGUUGGGGAGUGGACUCGCGGCUUAUCAGCUUGUUGGUGGGGUAGUGGCUUACCAAGGCUUUGACGGGUAGCCGGCCUGAGAGGGUGACCGGCCACAUUGGGACUGAGAUACGGCCCAGACUCCUACGGGAGGCAGCAGUGGGGAAUAUUGCACAAUGGGUGGAAGCCUGAUGCAGCAACGCCGUGUGCGGGAUGACGGCCUUC
This 397-nucleotide ribosomal RNA is filed under the name uncultured bacterium. Its description in RNAcentral is "bacterial SSU rRNA". It matches the Rfam family "Bacterial small subunit ribosomal RNA", at positions 28 to 419 of the family's 1533-position model. The record is from RNAcentral.